CAGCCUCCGCUGACCGCCGGCUGUGGGGACAAGGGAGGAAGCUGAGUCCCGCGGCCCCGGAACCGCCGAUCUCUGACCACGACAGUCCCUGCUCACUGUGUGUCGGCUGAAGGCUUUCAGGCUCUGUGGGAACUCCAGGCUCCCGAUGUGGGGUGAGGCUGUGAUGAGGAACAUCUGUUUGGGAGCUCUGUCCAGGACUGAGGAAAAGAGUGAAGACAGGAUCCUCAUCCUCCUCCUCCUCCUCCUCCUCCGCCGCCGCCGCCACCGCCCAGCAUGGUGGGUCUGGUGGCUCACUGUGCUUGGAGGACCAUUGAAGACCAUCAUCCUCUAUGGGUCUUGGACAUGGGACAGACUCUCUGUCACUUGAGGAACCCUGGGCCUAGGAGGACCCGCGUUACACUGAAUGUUAUGUCUCCUCCAUCUCACUGAUCUGUGACAGUUCUUCAGGCCUUCCCGCUUCCCGCUUUUUUCAUGGCCUGGACAACUUUGAUUUUACUUUCCCGCUUUGAAGAGUUGGAGUCUGCUGUGUUUAUAAGAACUGCCUGCCAGUUUGGAUUCCCGAGGUUUUCUCAUGAUCCAAUU
Non-coding RNA from Peromyscus maniculatus bairdii (prairie deer mouse), 582 nucleotides. The record is from RefSeq and is a predicted model, not a curated record. NCBI's taxonomy places the organism in Eukaryota, Metazoa, Chordata, Mammalia, Rodentia, Cricetidae.